UCAGGACGAACGCUGGCGGCGUGCCUAACACAUGCAAGUCGAGCGAGGAGAUCCUUCGGGAUGAUCCUAGCGGCGGACGGGUGAGUAACACGUGGGCAACCUGCCUCAUAGAGAGGAAUAGCCUUCCGAAAGGGAGAUUAAUACCUCAUAACAUUGCAGUUUCGCAUGGAACAGCAAUUAAAGGAGUAAUCCGCUAUGAGAUGGGCCCGCGGCGCAUUAGCUAGUUGGUGAGGUAACGGCUCACCAAGGCGACGAUGCGUAGCCGACCUGAGAGGGUGAUCGGCCACAUUGGGACUGAGACACGGCCCAGACUCCUACGGGAGGCAGCAGUGGGGAAUAUUGCACAAUGGGGGAAACCCUGAUGCCAGCAACGCCGCGUGAGUGAUGACGGCCUUCGGGUUGUAAAGCUCUGUCUUCAGGGACGAUAAUGACGGUACCUGAGGAGGAGGCCACGGCUAACUACGUGCCAGCCGCCGC
Molecule: ribosomal RNA, 477 nt
Filed under: uncultured bacterium
Lineage: Bacteria
Description: bacterial SSU rRNA
Rfam family: Bacterial small subunit ribosomal RNA
Source: RNAcentral